This 427-nucleotide long non-coding RNA is filed under the name Pan troglodytes (chimpanzee). Its description in RNAcentral is "long non-coding RNA NONPTRT001713". The record is from RNAcentral. Lineage: Eukaryota; Metazoa; Chordata; Mammalia; Primates; Hominidae.
GGAAUUUCUUGUUUCCACUGACCUGUGAGGCCGCGCACGCGGAGGGAGGCACCCCAGGCCCUCCGGCACUGUCCAGCCUCGCCUGUGUUCCCAGUAGCACCAGUGGGCAUUUUCAGAGGGUCCAGCUCGUGGCUCAAGUGACAGGAAGAUGUAGGAGCUUUCUGUCUUGAGUGAGGAUUCGAACCAAAGGGCUUAGGCCCAGCUGUCUUGGAGCAAAGCAGCUGUUGUGGGAUGCUGAGCUGCUGGCGCACUGCAGCACAACUAGAGAUGUACGGAUGCCCCCAUCUUGAUCUUACAGAAUCAGAGGUACAGCCGCGAGAAAGAGUCAAGAACAGACAGAGUCGCUUGAGGACUCAGAAGGGUGUUUGCUGCGUUGACAACAGACUACACCCUCACAGUUUGCUCUGCUCUUCCAACACCAGUGGAA